GGUUUAUUAGUGUAGCGGUUAUCACUCCGGAUUCUGAUAUGGCAACGCCUUCAGAUCUUCCGGCAACCCCGGUUCGAAUCCGGGAUAGACCU
Tulasnella calospora is the source of this 92-nucleotide transfer RNA. It matches the Rfam family "tRNA". From Rfam's summary of the family: Transfer RNA (tRNA) molecules are approximately 80 nucleotides in length. The record is from Rfam. NCBI's taxonomy places the organism in Eukaryota, Fungi, Basidiomycota, Agaricomycetes, Cantharellales, Tulasnellaceae.